This 482-nucleotide ribosomal RNA is filed under the name uncultured bacterium. RNAcentral's name for it is "partial 16S ribosomal RNA". It matches the Rfam family "Bacterial small subunit ribosomal RNA", at positions 30 to 507 of the family's 1533-position model. The record is from RNAcentral.
AUUGAACGCUGGCGGCAUGCCUUACACAUGCAAGUCGAACGGUAACAGGUCUUCGGAUGCUGACGAGUGGCGCACGGGUGAGUAAUACAUCGGAACGUGCCCAGACGUGGGGGAUAACGAGGCGAAAGCUUUGCUAAUACCGCAUACGAUCUAAGGAUGAAAGCAGGGGACCGCAAGGCCUUGCGCGUUUGGAGCGGCCGAUGGCAGAUUAGGUAGUUGGUGGGAUAAAAGCUUACCAAGCCGACGAUCUGUAGCUGGUCUGAGAGGACGACCAGCCACACUGGGACUGAGACACGGCCCAGACUCCUACGGGAGGCAGCAGUGGGGAAUUUUGGACAAUGGGCGAAAGCCUGAUCCAGCAAUGCCGCGUGCAGGAUGAAGGCCUUCGGGUUGUAAACUGCUUUUGUACGGAACGAAAAGGCUCUGGCUAAUACCUGGGGCACAUGACGGUACCGGAAGAAUAAGCACCGGCUAACUACGUG